GCCACCUUAGCUCAGUUGGUAGAGCAGCACUUUCGUAAAGUGAAGGUCCCCGGUUCAAAUCCGGGAGGUGGCUCAA
This 76-nucleotide transfer RNA is filed under the name bacterium. RNAcentral describes it as "tRNA-Thr". It matches the Rfam family "tRNA". From Rfam's summary of the family: Transfer RNA (tRNA) molecules are approximately 80 nucleotides in length. Their secondary structure includes four short double-helical elements and three loops (D, anti-codon, and T loops). Further hydrogen bonds mediate the characteristic L-shaped molecular structure. tRNAs have two regions of fundamental functional importance: the anti-codon, which is responsible for specific mRNA codon recognition, and the 3' end, to which the tRNAs corresponding amino acid is attached (by aminoacyl-tRNA synthetases). tRNAs cope with the degeneracy of the genetic code in two manners: having more than one tRNA (with a specific anti-codon) for a particular amino acid; and 'wobble' base-pairing, i.e. permitting non-standard base-pairing at the 3rd anti-codon position. The record is from RNAcentral.